GGGCCGGUGGUCUAGAGGCCAUGACGCCGCCCUUACGAGGCGGAGGUCGGGGGUUCGAUUCCCCCCCGGCCCA
This 73-nucleotide transfer RNA is filed under the name Candidatus Korarchaeota archaeon NZ13-K. Its description in RNAcentral is "tRNA-Val". It matches the Rfam family "tRNA". Rfam says of the family: Transfer RNA (tRNA) molecules are approximately 80 nucleotides in length. Their secondary structure includes four short double-helical elements and three loops (D, anti-codon, and T loops). Further hydrogen bonds mediate the characteristic L-shaped molecular structure. tRNAs have two regions of fundamental functional importance: the anti-codon, which is responsible for specific mRNA codon recognition, and the 3' end, to which the tRNAs corresponding amino acid is attached (by aminoacyl-tRNA synthetases). tRNAs cope with the degeneracy of the genetic code in two manners: having more than one tRNA (with a specific anti-codon) for a particular amino acid; and 'wobble' base-pairing, i.e. permitting non-standard base-pairing at the 3rd anti-codon position. The record is from RNAcentral. Lineage: Archaea; Thermoproteati; Thermoproteota.